AUCGCUUCUCGGCCUUUUGGCUAAGAUCAAAGUGUAGUAUCUGUUCUUAUCAGCUUAAUAUCUGAUACGUCCUCCAUUGGGGGACAUCGAUAUUAAACUGAUUUUUGAAAGGGGGUGAGGUGCCCGGGGCUUGCUCCGCCCUCACCACGGGUUGACCCGGUAUUGCAGUACUUCCGGGAAUGGCCCCACCACU
This 193-nucleotide small nuclear RNA is filed under the name Gigantopelta aegis. RNAcentral's name for it is "U2 spliceosomal RNA". It matches the Rfam family "U2 spliceosomal RNA". Rfam says of the family: U2 is a small nuclear RNA (snRNA) component of the spliceosome (involved in pre-mRNA splicing). Complementary binding between U2 snRNA (in an area lying towards the 5' end but 3' to hairpin I) and the branchpoint sequence (BPS) of the intron results the bulging out of an unpaired adenosine, on the BPS, which initiates a nucleophilic attack at the intronic 5' splice site, thus starting the first of two transesterification reactions that mediate splicing. The record is from RNAcentral. Lineage: Eukaryota; Metazoa; Mollusca; Gastropoda; Neomphalida; Peltospiridae.